CCUACGGGAGGCAGCAGUGGGGAAUAUUGGACAAUGGGGGCAACCCUGAUCCAGCCAUGCCGCGUGUGUGAAGAAGGCCCUCGGGUUGUAAAGCACUUUCAGUGAGGAAGAACGCCUGGUGGUUAAUACCCAUCAGGAAAGACAUCACUCACAGAAGAAGCACCGGCUAACUCCGUGCCAGCAGCCGCGGUAAUACGGAGGGUGCGAGCGUUAAUCGGAAUUACUGGGCGUAAAGCGCGCGUAGGUGGCUUGAUAAGCCGGUUGUGAAAGCCCCGGGCUCAACCUGGGAACGGCAUCCGGAACUGUCAAGCUAGAGUGCAGGAGAGGAAGGUAGAAUUCCCGGUGUAGCGGUGAAAUGCGUAGAGAUCGGGAGGAAUACCAGUGGCGAAGGCGGCCUUCUGGAUUGACACUGACACUGAGGUGCGAAAGCGUGGGUAGCAAACAGGAUUAGAUACCCCAGUAGUC
Molecule: ribosomal RNA, 465 nt
Filed under: Vreelandella stevensii
Lineage: Bacteria; Pseudomonadati; Pseudomonadota; Gammaproteobacteria; Oceanospirillales; Halomonadaceae
Description: partial 16S ribosomal RNA
Rfam family: Bacterial small subunit ribosomal RNA
Source: RNAcentral